CAGUAGCCGCGGGAAUACGAAGGGGGCUAGCGUUGCUCGGAAUGACUGGGCGUAAAGGGCGCGUAGGCGGCUUGGUAAGUUAGAGGUGAAAGCCUGGAGCUCAACUCCAGAAUUGCCUUUAAGACUGCCGAGCUAGCAGGUGAGAGAGGUAAGUGGAAUUCCGAGUGUAGAGGUGAAAUUCGUAGAUAUUCGGAAGAACACCAGUGGCGAAGGCGGCUUACUGGCUCAUACUGGACACUGAGGUGCGAAAGCGUGGGGAGCAAACAGGAUUAGAUACCCCCGUAGUCCCUGUCUCUUAUAC
This 301-nucleotide ribosomal RNA is filed under the name uncultured bacterium. Its description in RNAcentral is "partial 16S ribosomal RNA". It matches the Rfam family "Bacterial small subunit ribosomal RNA", at positions 509 to 807 of the family's 1533-position model. The record is from RNAcentral.